Molecule: long non-coding RNA, 890 nt
Organism: Orcinus orca (killer whale)
Lineage: Eukaryota; Metazoa; Chordata; Mammalia; Artiodactyla; Delphinidae
Exons: 3
Source: RefSeq, a predicted model, not a curated record
AGCUGGGGCUGGGCCCCGGGCCCUGGGCGUCUGUCUGCAUCCGGAGAGCCUCUCUGGGUGUGCUGCGGAGCAGGUGGUGGGGGCCAGGUGUGAGGAGGGAGCCCCGCUCACACCCCACGUUCCAGGGCAGAACUCCAAGAAGUCUGAGAGUUCUGAAUUUGAUCCUGACCUCCCAGGGCAUUAGGCAGUCGUUUGUCAAGAACCUUGCUGCAUUGCUACGAAAACAAGCCUGGGCCUGCCUGCUGGAGGAUGAGAGAUGCUAUGGAGCAGAGAUGAGCCAUCCCAGCUGAGGCCACCCUGACCAACCAGUGCCCAGCCAAACCAGAAGCUGACCACAGACCCAAGACCAGAGGAGCCGCCUAGAUGAGCCCAGACCAAACUGCUGACCUGAAGAAAGACCUACGGGAACAAAUGAUCCACGGAAUAUGCUUUGAGAAGUGUAACGUGGUAGCAAAGUUCAGCUUUGAAGUCACAAGACCUGGCUUGCUCCGCCAUGUGGCCUUAGGCAAGUUGCUUAAGUCCAUUUUCGUUGCGUCCAUUUUCCCAUCUGCAAACAAAAGCUCAAUCAUAACAUCUCCCUUGUGCAGUUGUUGUCAGGGUUAACUAAUGCCUGUGAAGCCUUGAGUGCUGUGCCUGGCGCCCAGAAGCCACUCACUGAAGGACACCAGCCUGGUUUGAGAGAUCCUUAUGUCUGCUCUAAAAUUGUAUAACUUGGGCUUCCCUGGUGGCGCAGUGGUUGAGAGUCCGCCUGCCAAUGCAGGGGACGCGGGUUCAUGCCCCGGUCCGGGAAGAUCCCACAUGCCGCGGAGCGGCUGGGCCCGUGAGCCAUGGCCGCUGAGCCUGCGCGUCCGGAGCCUGUGCUCCACAACGGGAGAGGCCACAGCGGAGAG